AAAGUGGCGUUGACCAAAGC
RNAcentral lists this unclassified non-coding RNA (20 nucleotides) under Mus musculus (house mouse). RNAcentral's name for it is "oocyte_clustered_small_RNA11052". The record is from RNAcentral. Lineage: Eukaryota; Metazoa; Chordata; Mammalia; Rodentia; Muridae.